Molecule: long non-coding RNA, 127 nt
Organism: Piliocolobus tephrosceles (Ugandan red Colobus)
Lineage: Eukaryota; Metazoa; Chordata; Mammalia; Primates; Cercopithecidae
Exons: 3
Source: RefSeq, a predicted model, not a curated record
UCAUGACAUUGAUGUGUUGAAGCGAUCAGAUUCAAACAUCCACAACUAAGGCCAUUAAAUUACAAAAGAAAAAAAAAAAAAAAGACUGCCAUAAUGAAAUGGCUAUACUUCAAGAAGAUCUGUACAG